GUUUAGAGCAAGUAUAGUUCAUCAGAUUCUUGAAAGCCUGAUUGAAAUAACCCCUGAGCACAAUCCAGUUGCAUUUGAUUUUAUUUUUGUCGAGGUACCUCUGCUUGUUAAUUCAAUUUUUUAAGAGCACAAGAGAGGGAGGGAUGGAAGGUUGAUGCCAAAAGAGCGGUAAUUAUUCCCUUUCCUGUAACCUGUAUGUGACUUGGCAACUCAUCUUGUCAGUAGCUAGAGACUAUUAAGCCCUCUAAUGGAGGCUGGCUUGUGACUUUCUGUGUCCACAGAAUGUGGUGGAAGCCAUGAUGUGCCUCUUCUAAGCAUAGGUUCUCAAGAGGCUUUAAGUACUCUCUCUCUGUCUGUCGCUCUGUCUGAACAUUGCACAGCCACGAUGGAAACGCACCCAGGCAACUUGCUCAGUGAUGAGAAACAAGGCCCAUUUACUUGUACAGCUCUGGCUGAUGGCUGGACCAUACUAGCCAUGUGUUAGAUCAGCCAGCCCGAGUGGCCCAACCACCAGGUGAGCAUGAGUGCCUGAGCGAGCCCAGGAGAGAGCAGCUGAGCUUCUCCCAGAUCCCAGAAUUGCCCUGCUGCCCUAGAUGUGUGAGCAAAAACAAAUGCUAAUUGUCUGAAGUCUUUGAGUGUGGGCGUGGUUGUUAUACAGCAAUAGCUAACUGAUACACGAUGGUUCCCAGCAACAGUAUGAUAAUUAAUAGAAAAAAACCUUUCCCACUAUUAUAAAUAAAGGAAUACAAAUGAAAAUAUUACAAAUGAAAAACAAUAAUCACACCUUGGCAUUCUGGUUUGUGUUUUAGGGUCUUCCAAGCUAGUGAGUAUGGAAUCCCCUGAGAACCUGAGGAGCUCUAAAUACGCAAAGUUUCGUUUCUAGACUUGAAUAAUGGAAGAUCAGACCUAGACAACUGGAACUGGGUUUUUAAAACACUCCCGCCUGGGAUGCCCAGCAUGACUGCACGGAGACAGCCAAAUGUCUCUCUUAUGAAUAAAGUCUCUGAAUUGAAACCUGGCAGCGAGGGUUUCCGGGGGUCUCAUCUGGUGCUGAAGAUGAUCGGCUCCCCCAGUCAAGGAGGAAGGAAUCCCCUCGACCCAGCACCCAGACGAACCUGUGUGAGGAGACAGAGCCCGAGAUCCAUCCUGUCCUCACAGACAAUCAAGGUGCGUGCUGGAAACGGUGAGACUGUAUUUUCUAGACUUGCUCUGUUUGCUGAAAACCGGAAGAGGCCAGGAAAUUGCUUCAUGUACGUGAAGGUAUGAGAAA
RNAcentral lists this long non-coding RNA (1270 nucleotides) under Ursus maritimus (polar bear). Its description in RNAcentral is "lncRNA (ENSUMAG00000019293.1)". Lineage: Eukaryota; Metazoa; Chordata; Mammalia; Carnivora; Ursidae. The record is from RNAcentral.